CCUACGGGUGGCUGCAGUGGGGAAUAUUGGGCAAUGGGCGCAAGCCUGACCCAGCAACGCCGCGUGAAGGAAGAAGGCUUUCGGGUUGUAAACUUCUUUUCUCAGGGACGAAGAAAGUGACGGUACCUGAGGAAUAAGCCACGGCUAACUACGAGCAAGCAGCCGCGGUAAUACGUAGGUGGCAAGCGUUAUCCGGAUUGAUUGGGUGUAAAGGGCGAGUAGGUGGGAGCGCAAGUCAGAUGUGAAAAUUCAGGGCUCAACCCUGAGCCUGCAUUUGAAACUGGGUUUCUUGAGUGCUGGAGAGGCAAGCGGAAUUCCGGGUGUAGCGGUGAAAUGCGUAGAUAUAAGGAGGAACACCAGUUGCGAAGGCAGAUUGCUGGACAGUAACUGACGCUGAGGCGCGAAAGCGUGGGGAGCAAACAGGAUUAGAUACCCCAGUAGUC
Molecule: ribosomal RNA, 443 nt
Filed under: uncultured bacterium
Lineage: Bacteria
Description: partial 16S ribosomal RNA
Rfam family: Bacterial small subunit ribosomal RNA
Source: RNAcentral